GGACUGGCACACAGCAAUUAAUGCACAAUAUAGCUUGCUCGGAGUCACCAAAUUUAUUCAUGCCAAAUGUGUGUAUGAUACAUCCUGGGAAAACAUAUCACAAGAUGCAAACCUGCUCAGCCAUGUUCUUAGCUUAUGCUUCACAGAGGAUGUGCAUAUUGCUCUGAUUGGGAUUUUACAUUAGGAACUGGUGUCUGUGUCCCGGUCUCCCAACAUAUCAGAAGAGGAGUAGCAGUCCUAUUGGAAAUAAGAGGGUGAUCAGUAGACUUCAUACAUUCGUACACUAGACCUUUAAUUCGAGGGUGUUUGUGCCACGCCCUCUACCUGGCUUCCAUGUCCGUUCAACCCAGUGAGGGACAGUGAAAUGAGUGAUAGGUGCCGUGAUGAUGGUGCAUUCGGGCUCCCAUGGAAACAGUGGGCAGGGGCACACAACAAACUCAGUUCCAGGAAAAGUGCCGGUUACAGGGGCAUGGGGCAUCGCAGGCAGUGGGAACCGCAUGUGCAAAAGCAUGCCGGUGAGACAGAUCCUCAGCCAAGCACCCUAAGGGAAAAACAACAUAAUUAUUGUGUUCUGUCACUAGCUGCUUUGUGUACACUUGACAGUUUUGGACUGACCUCUGACAAAUAAAAGUUCACUGUGUACCGACCUUUACCAGCUAUUAAAUAUUUAAAAACAUAAAGAGAACAUGAAGUUCCUUGAUCUUAAGAAACAGCUGUUGCUCUACAAUUUUCUGCUCAAAUGUGUAUUAUCAUAUAUAAAUAUAGUCAUUUUUCUUCUGUGACUGAUUACCUUAUUUGGUUUGAGACGAAAUCCAGACUUGGAUGUAUGGGCUAGAUAUUUUUGAAGGAUGGCACUUUGGGGAUUUGACACCCUAAUAAUGCUUUUAAAGGAUCAAACUUUUUUAACCACUGAAUUCUCUGCAAAUAUUUAUUUCCAGGACUAGUGUACUUGAAUUUCAAAAAUUAAAGAGAGAACCUUCGAGGACCAGAAACAUCCACAUACACAGCUGACUGUGCGCAGGCCCUGGUGUGCUAUCUUCUCAGACGUGCCUCCACUAUUGGGUUGUGACCACUAACAUGAGUUUGCUAUUCCAGGAAAUUUCUGCCUAGGAAGAAAAAUUGAAAAUAUUUUCAUUAUUUGUUCCAGGAACUUCUUAACAAUACAUUUAUCUGAACGGGAACUACUCAAGCUACUCUCAGGGUAAAUACUCAUCUCAGAACAACAGCCAGCCUGAAAUGACUGUUUUCU
RNAcentral lists this long non-coding RNA (1249 nucleotides) under Vulpes vulpes (red fox). Its description in RNAcentral is "lncRNA (ENSVVUG00000017676.1)". The record is from RNAcentral. Lineage: Eukaryota; Metazoa; Chordata; Mammalia; Carnivora; Canidae.